RNAcentral lists this non-coding RNA (31 nucleotides) under Rattus norvegicus (Norway rat). Lineage: Eukaryota; Metazoa; Chordata; Mammalia; Rodentia; Muridae. The record is from RNAcentral.
ACAAAGCGCUUGCCAUGCAUGCAUGAGGACA